AGGUCACUGCUAUUGGAGUUCGAUUAAGCCAUGCGAGUCAAGAGUUCUUCGUGAACUCGGCGGACUGCUCAGUAACACGUGGGUAAUCUAGCCCUCGGGUCAGGGAUAACCCCGGGAAACUGGGAAUAAUACCUGAUAGGUGAAGAUGUCUGGAAUGAUACUUCGCCCAAAGCCCCGGCGCCCGAGGAUGAGCCUGCGGCCGAUUAGGUAGUUGGCGGUGUAACGGACCACCAAGCCGAUGAUCGGUACGGGUGUUGAGAGACAUAGCCCGGAGAUGGGGGCUGAGACACGGCCCCAGGCCCUACGGGGCGCAGCAGGCGCGAAAACUACGCAAUGCGCGAAAGCGUGACGUGGNNAACUCCAAGUGCCCUGCCUCCUCAGGCUUAACCUGAGGAAUUCCGAAGAUACUGCCAGACUAGGAGUUGAGAGAAGUCAGAGGUACCUCCGGGGUAGGGGUGAAAUCCUAUAAUCCUGGGGGGACCACCAGUGGCGAAGGCGUCUGACUAGAGCAAGCUCGACGGUGAGGGACGAAAGCCGGGGGCGCGAACGGGAUUAGAUACCCCGGUAGUCCUGGCCGUAAACGCUGCGCGCUAGGUGUUACGUCCUCUACGGGGGGGCGUAGUGCCGAAGAGAAGUUGAUAAGCGUGCCGCCUGGGAAGUAUUACCGCAAGGUAGAAACUUAAAGGAAUUGGCGGGGGAGCACCACAAGGGGUGGAGUCUGCGGUUCAAUUGGAUUCAACGCCGGGAAACUCACCGGGAGCGACGGCAGAAUGAUAGCCAAGCUGACGACUUUGCUUGACGAGCCGAGAGGAGGUGCAUGGCCGUCGUCAGCUCGUACUGUGAAGCGUCCUGUUAAGUCAGGCAACGAGCGAGACCCGUGCCCUUAGUUGCUAAUUUCUCCCAUCGGGAGAAGUGCACUCUAGGGGGACCGCCAGUGAUAAACUGGAGGAAGGUGCGGGCGACUAUAGGUCAGUAUGCCCCGAAUCUCCCGGGCUACACGCGGACUACAAUGGAUGGUACAACGGGCUUCNACUCCGAGAGGAGANGAAA
RNAcentral lists this ribosomal RNA (1050 nucleotides) under uncultured archaeon. RNAcentral's name for it is "partial 16S rRNA". It matches the Rfam family "Archaeal small subunit ribosomal RNA", at positions 21 to 1226 of the family's 1478-position model. The record is from RNAcentral.